RNAcentral lists this transfer RNA (90 nucleotides) under Gammaproteobacteria bacterium. Its description in RNAcentral is "tRNA-Ser". It matches the Rfam family "tRNA". Rfam says of the family: Transfer RNA (tRNA) molecules are approximately 80 nucleotides in length. Their secondary structure includes four short double-helical elements and three loops (D, anti-codon, and T loops). Further hydrogen bonds mediate the characteristic L-shaped molecular structure. tRNAs have two regions of fundamental functional importance: the anti-codon, which is responsible for specific mRNA codon recognition, and the 3' end, to which the tRNAs corresponding amino acid is attached (by aminoacyl-tRNA synthetases). tRNAs cope with the degeneracy of the genetic code in two manners: having more than one tRNA (with a specific anti-codon) for a particular amino acid; and 'wobble' base-pairing, i.e. permitting non-standard base-pairing at the 3rd anti-codon position. The record is from RNAcentral. Lineage: Bacteria; Pseudomonadati; Pseudomonadota; Gammaproteobacteria.
GGAGAGGUGGCAGAGCGGUUGAAUGCACCGGUCUUGAAAACCGGCAACGGGGCGACCCGUUCGAGGGUUCGAAUCCCUCCCUCUCCGCCA